UGGGGAAUAUUGCACAAUGGGCGAAAGCCUGAUGCAGCAACGCCGCGUGAAGGAAGAAGGGUUUCGGCUCGUAAACUUCUAUCAACAGGGACGAAGGAAGUGACGGUACCUGAAUAAGAAGCCCCGGCUAACUACGUGCCAGCAGCUGCGGUAAUACGUAGGGGGCAAGCGUUAUCCGGAAUUACUGGGUGUAAAGGGUGAGUAGGCGGCAUGGUAAGCCAGAUGUGAAAGCCUUGGGCUUAACCCGAGGAUUGCAUUUGGAACUAUCAAGCUAGAGUACAGGAGAGGAAAGCGGAAUUCCUAGUGUAGCGGUGAAAUGCGUAGAUAUUAGGAAGAACACCAGUGGCGAAGGCGGCUUUCUGGACUGAAACUGACGCUGAGGCACGAAAGCGUGGGGAGCGACAGGAUUAGAUACCC
Molecule: ribosomal RNA, 417 nt
Filed under: uncultured bacterium
Lineage: Bacteria
Description: bacterial SSU rRNA
Rfam family: Bacterial small subunit ribosomal RNA
Source: RNAcentral